ACGCUGGCGGCACGCCUAACACAUGCAAGUCGAACGAAGUAGCAAUACUUAGUGGCAGACGGGUGAGUAACAUGUGGGUAUCUACCCUUUGGCCUGGAAUAACACGAGGAAACUUGUGCUAAUACCGGAUAAGUCUUUACGGAGAAAGCUUUAUGCACCAUUGGAUGAGCCCGCACUUGAUUAGUUUGUUGGUAGGGUAACGGCCUACCAAGACUUUGAUCAAUAGCUGAUUUGAGAGGAUGAUCAGCCACAUUGGGACUGAGACACGGCCCAAACUCCUACGGGAGGCAGCAGUGGGGAAUCUUGCACAAUGGAGGAAACUCUGAUGCAGCGAUGCCGCGUGAGUGAAGAAGGCCCUUGGGUUGUAAAGCUCUUUCGUCGGGGAAGAAAAUGACUGUACCCGAAUAAGAAGGUCCGGCUAACUUCGUGCCAGCAGCCGCGGUAAUACGAAGGGACCUAGCGUAGUUCGGAAUUACUGGGCUUAAAGAGUUCGUAGGUGGUUGAAAAAGUUGGUGGUGAAAUCCCAGAGCUUAACUCUGGAACUGCCAUCAAAACUUUUCAGCUAGAGUUUGAUAGAGGAAAGCAGAAUUUCUAGUGUAGAGGUGAAAUUCGUAGAUAUUAGAAAGAAUACCAAUUGCGAAGGCAGCUUUCUGGAUCAUUACUGACACUGAGGAACGAAAGCAUGGGUAGCGAAGAGGAUUAGAUACCCUCGUAGUCCAUGCUGUAAACGAUGUGUGUUAGACGUUGGAAAUUUAUUUUCAGUGUCGCAGCGAAAGCGAUAAACACACCGCCUGGGGAGUACGACCGCAA
This 810-nucleotide ribosomal RNA is filed under the name uncultured Pelagibacteraceae bacterium. Its description in RNAcentral is "bacterial SSU rRNA". It matches the Rfam family "Bacterial small subunit ribosomal RNA", at positions 33 to 891 of the family's 1533-position model. Lineage: Bacteria; Pseudomonadati; Pseudomonadota; Alphaproteobacteria; Candidatus Pelagibacterales; Candidatus Pelagibacteraceae. The record is from RNAcentral.